GUGAUGGAUGGGGAUGCGUCUGAUUAGCUUGUUGGCGGGGUAACGGCCCACCAAGGCGACGAUCAGUAGGGGUUCUGAGAGGAAGGUCCCCCACAUUGGAACUGAGACACGGUCCAAACUCCUACGGGAGGCAGCAGUGAGGAAUAUUGGUCAAUGGGCGGAAGCCUGAACCAGCCAAGUAGCGUGAAGGACGACUGCCUAUGGGUUGUAAACUUCUUUUAUGCGGGGAUAGGUACCGCAUGAAUAAGGACCGGCUAAUUCCGUGCCAGCAGCCGCGGUAAUACGGAAGGUCCAGGCGUUAUCCGGAUUCAUUGGGUUUAAAGGGAGCGUAGGCCGCCUUUUAAGCGUGUUGUGAAAUGUAGGGGCUCAACCCCUGCACUGCAGCGCGAACUGGAGGGCUUGAGUACACACAAAGUAGGCGGAAUUCAUGGUGUAGCGGUGAAAUGCUUAGAUAUCAUGAGGAACCCCGAUUGCGAAGGCAGCUUACUGGAGUGUAACUGACGCUGAAGCUCGAAAGCGCGGGUAUCGAACAGGAUUAGAUACCCUGGUAGUCCGCGCGGUAAACGAUGGAUGCCCGCUUUUGCAGCGGCCAAGCGAAAGCGUUAAGCAUCCCACCUGGGGAGUACGCC
Molecule: ribosomal RNA, 629 nt
Filed under: uncultured bacterium
Lineage: Bacteria
Description: bacterial SSU rRNA
Rfam family: Bacterial small subunit ribosomal RNA
Source: RNAcentral